GGUAGGCCCUUCGGGGUACACGAGUGGCGAACGGGUGAGUAACACGUGAGCAACCUGCCUCUGACUUUGGGAUAACAGUAGGAAACUGCUGCUAAUACCGGAUAUCACCCUCCUUCUGCAUGGUGGGGGGUUGAAAGCUUUUGCGGUCAGAGAUGGGCUCGCGGCCUAUCAGCUUGUUGGUGAGGUAAUGGCUCACCAAGGCUUCGACGGGUAGCCGGCCUGAGAGGGCGACCGGCCACACUGGGACUGAGAUACGGCCCAGACUCCUACGGGAGGCAGCAGUGGGGAAUAUUGCACAAUGGGCGGAAGCCUGAUGCAGCAACGCCGCGUGCGGGAUGACGGCCUUCGGGUUGUAAACCGCUUUCACUCAUGACGAAGCGCAAGUGACGGUAGUGAGAGAAGAAGCACCGGCCAACUACGUGCCAGCAGCCGCGGUGAUACGUAGGGUGCGAGCGUUGUCCGGAAUUAUUGGGCGUAAAGAGCUCGUAGGCGGUCUGUCACGUCGGAAGUGAAAACUCAGGGCUCAAACCCUGUAGCCCUGCUUCCGAUACGGGCAGACUUGAGGAAGGUAGGGGAGACCGGAAUUCCUGGUGGAGCGGUGGAAUGCUCAGAUAUCAGGAGGAACACCGGUGGCGAAGGCGGUUCUCUGGACCUUUCCUGACGCU
This 665-nucleotide ribosomal RNA is filed under the name Aestuariimicrobium sp. N9. RNAcentral describes it as "bacterial SSU rRNA". It matches the Rfam family "Bacterial small subunit ribosomal RNA", at positions 68 to 747 of the family's 1533-position model. The record is from RNAcentral. Lineage: Bacteria; Bacillati; Actinomycetota; Actinomycetes; Propionibacteriales; Propionibacteriaceae.